RNAcentral lists this transfer RNA (76 nucleotides) under Junco hyemalis (dark-eyed junco). It matches the Rfam family "tRNA". From Rfam's summary of the family: Transfer RNA (tRNA) molecules are approximately 80 nucleotides in length. The record is from Rfam by way of RNAcentral. Lineage: Eukaryota; Metazoa; Chordata; Aves; Passeriformes; Passerellidae.
CGAGGAGUAGCGUAGCUUGGUUUAACGCGCUUGCUUUGGGAGCAAGAGAUCGUGAGUUCAAAUCUCUCCUCCUCGA